Molecule: transfer RNA, 73 nt
Filed under: Ailuropoda melanoleuca (giant panda)
Lineage: Eukaryota; Metazoa; Chordata; Mammalia; Carnivora; Ursidae
Rfam family: tRNA
About the family: Transfer RNA (tRNA) molecules are approximately 80 nucleotides in length. Their secondary structure includes four short double-helical elements and three loops (D, anti-codon, and T loops).
Source: Rfam by way of RNAcentral
ACCUGGCUGGCUCAGUCAGUAGAGCAUGUGACUCUUGAUCUCAGAGUGGUGAGUUCGAGCCCCAUGUUGGGUA